Molecule: ribosomal RNA, 253 nt
Filed under: uncultured bacterium
Lineage: Bacteria
Description: partial 16S ribosomal RNA
Rfam family: Bacterial small subunit ribosomal RNA
Source: RNAcentral
UACGGAGGGUGCGAGCGUUGUCCGGAAUCACUGGGCGUAAAGGGCGCGUAGGCGGCGCGGGUAGUCAUCGGUGAAAGUUCAGGGCUCAACUCUGAAUCGGCCGGUGAUACUCCCGUGCUCGAGCACUGUAGAGGCAGGUGGAAUUCCGGGUGUAGCGGUGGAAUGCGUAGAGAUCGGGAGGAACAUCAGUUGCGAAGGCGGCUCUCUGGACCAGCACUGACACUGAGGCACGAAAGCGUGGGGAGCAAACAGG